RNAcentral lists this ribosomal RNA (1446 nucleotides) under uncultured bacterium. RNAcentral describes it as "bacterial SSU rRNA". It matches the Rfam family "Bacterial small subunit ribosomal RNA". The record is from RNAcentral.
AGAGUUUGAUCCUGGCUCAGGAUGAACGCUGGCGGCGUGCUUAACACAUGCAAGUCGAACGAACCUUCGGGUUAGUGGCGGACGGGUGAGUAACGCGUGAGAAUCUGCCCUCAGGAGGGGGAUAACGGUUGGAAACGACCGCUAAUACCCCAUAUGCCUACUGGUGAAACGAAUUUCGCCUGAGGAUGAGCUCGCGUCUGAUUAGCUAGUUGGUGAGGUAAUGGCUCACCAAGGCUUCGAUCAGUAGCUGGUCUGAGAGGAUGAUCAGCCACACUGGGACUGAGACACGGCCCAGACUCCUACGGGAGGCAGCAGUGGGGAAUUUUCCGCAAUGGGCGAAAGCCUGACGGAGCAACGCCGCGUGAGGGACGAAGGCCUCUGGGCUGUAAACCUCUUUUCUCAAGGAAGAAGAUAUGACGGUACUUGAGGAAUAAGCCACGGCUAAUUCCGUGCCAGCAGCCGCGGUAAUACGGGAGUGGCAAGCGUUAUCCGGAAUUAUUGGGCGUAAAGCGUCCGCAGGCGGCUUUUCAAGUCUGCUGUUAAAACGUGGAGCUUAACUCCAUCAUGGCAGUGGAAACUGAAAGGCUUGAGUAUGGUAGGGGCAGAGGGAAUUCCCGGUGUAGCGGUGAAAUGCGUAGAUAUCGGGAAGAACACCAGUGGCGAAGGCGCUCUGCUGGGCCAUUACUGACGCUCAUGGACGAAAGCCAGGGGAGCGAAAGGGAUUAGAUACCCCUGUAGUCCUGGCCGUAAACGAUGAACACUAGGUGUCGGGGGAAUCGACCCCUUCGGUGUCGUAGCUAACGCGUUAAGUGUUCCGCCUGGGGAGUACGCACGCAAGUGUGAAACUCAAAGGAAUUGACGGGGGCCCGCACAAGCGGUGGAGUAUGUGGUUUAAUUCGAUGCAACGCGAAGAACCUUACCAGGGUUUGACAUCCUGCGAACCUCUUAGAAAUUUGAGGGUGCCUUCGGGAAUGCAGUGACAGGUGGUGCAUGGCUGUCGUCAGCUCGUGUCGUGAGAUGUUGGGUUAAGUCCCGCAACGAGCGCAACCCACGUUUUUAGUUGCCAGCAUUUAGUUGGGCACUCUAGAAAGACCGCCGGUGAUAAACCGGAGGAAGGUGUGGGUGACGUCAAGUCAUCAUGCCCCUUACACCCUGGGCUACACACGUACUACAAUGCUACGGACAAAGGGCAGCAAACUCGCGAGAGCUAGCAAAUCCCAUAAACCGUGGCUCAGUUCAGAUCGUAGGCUGCAACUCGCCUACGUGAAGUAGGAAUCGCUAGUAAUCGCAGGUCAGCAUACUGCGGUGAAUACGUUCCCGGGCCUUGUACACACCGCCCGUCACACCAUGGAAGUUGGCCAUGCCCGAAGUCGUUACUCCAACCCUUGUGGAGGAGGACGCCGAAGGUGGGGCUAAUGACUGGGGUGAAGUCGUAACAAGGUAACC